UGGGGAAUCUUGCACAAUGGGGGCAACCCUGAUGCAGCGACGCCGCGUGAGCGAUGAAGCCCUUCGGGGCGUAAAGCUCUUUCGACCGGAACGAUAAUGACGGUACCGGGAGAAGAAGCUGCGGCUAACUACGUGCCAGCAGCCGCGGUAAUACGUAGGCAGCAAGCGUUGUUCGGAGUUACUGGGCGUAAAGAGUGCGUAGGCGGUUUUCUAAGUUCGGUGUGAAAUCUCCCGGCUUAACUGGGAGGGUGCGCCGAAGACUGGGAAGCUGGAGUGUGGGAAAGGCAGGCGGAAUUCCUGGUGUUGCGGUGAAAUGCGUAGAUAUCAGGAGGAACACCGGCGGUGUAGACGGCUUGCUAGACCAUAACUGACGCUGAGGCACGAAAGCGUGGGUAGCAAACA
RNAcentral lists this ribosomal RNA (402 nucleotides) under uncultured bacterium. Its description in RNAcentral is "bacterial SSU rRNA". It matches the Rfam family "Bacterial small subunit ribosomal RNA", at positions 355 to 774 of the family's 1533-position model. The record is from RNAcentral.